CACGCCAUAAACGAUGAGUGCUAGGUGUUGGGGGUCAAACCUCGGUGCCGCAGUUAACGCAUUAAGCACUCCGCCUGGGGAGUACGUUCGCAAGAAUAAAACUCAAAGGAAUUGACGGGGACCCGCACAAGCAGCGGAGCAUGUGGUUUAAUUCGAUGCAACGCGAAGAACCUUACCAGGGCUUGACAUGUGGGUGAAAGCUGUAGAGAUACAGCCCUCUCUUCGGAGACAUCCAUACAGGUGG
RNAcentral lists this ribosomal RNA (244 nucleotides) under uncultured Finegoldia sp. Its description in RNAcentral is "partial 16S ribosomal RNA". It matches the Rfam family "Bacterial small subunit ribosomal RNA", at positions 796 to 1041 of the family's 1533-position model. The record is from RNAcentral. Lineage: Bacteria; Bacillati; Bacillota; Tissierellia; Tissierellales; Peptoniphilaceae.